GUGCCAGCAGCCGCGGUAAUACGAAGGGGGCUAGCGUUGUUCGGAAUCACUGGGCGUAAAGCGCACGUAGGCGGACUGUUAAGUCGGGGGUGAAAUCCUGGGGCUCAACCCCAGAACUGCCCUCGAUACUGGCGGUCUUGAGUGUGGAAGAGGUUGGUGGAACUCCGAGUGUAGAGGUGAAAUUCGUAGAUAUUCGGAAGAACACCAGUGGCGAAGGCGGCCAACUGGUCCACUACUGACGCUGAGGUGCGAAAGCGUGGGGAGCAAACAGGAUUAGAUACCCCCGUAGUCC
This 292-nucleotide ribosomal RNA is filed under the name uncultured bacterium. RNAcentral's name for it is "partial 16S ribosomal RNA". It matches the Rfam family "Bacterial small subunit ribosomal RNA", at positions 505 to 796 of the family's 1533-position model. The record is from RNAcentral.